This 778-nucleotide non-coding RNA is filed under the name Calomera brevipilosa. Lineage: Eukaryota; Metazoa; Arthropoda; Insecta; Coleoptera; Carabidae. The record is from RNAcentral.
AUAAAGUUUAAAUUUGGCUUAAGAAUUUAUUAAGUAUUUCUUUUACAUGUAAAUUUUUGUGAGACUAUAAAUUUAUUUAAAUAAUAAAUUUAGUUAAUUUUUAUUCUCAGUAUAUAAUAUUAUUAAUUUAAGAAAUUUUGAAUUAGGAAUAUAUCUAGUAUUGACUAAAUUUGUGCCAGCAGUUGCGGUUACACAAAUGAUACAAAUAAAUAUUAUUGGACAACAGAUAAGUGUUUAUUUUAAAUUAUAUCUAGUUUUAUUAGGUGAAAUUUUAAUACUAGAAUAAUUUAAUAGAAUAAUUUAUUUUUGUGAAAUUUUUAUAUAAACUAGGAUUAGAUACCCUAUUAUUUAAAAUGUAAAUUAUUUAUUCCAGAGGAGUAGUAGCUAAGUUCUUGAAAUUUAAAAAUUUUGGCGGUAUUUUAGUCUCUUCAGAGGAACCUGUUUUAUAAAUGAUAGUCCACGAUCGACUCGACUCAAGUUAAUAAGUUUGUAUAUCGUCGUUAUAAAUAUUUUAUAAGAAUAUAAAUUUUUAGUAAUUUUUAUAAAUACAUAUAUCAGAUCAAGGUGCAGCAUAUAUUUGAGUAAAAAUGGGUUACAAUAAAUUUAUUUAAACGGAAUGAUGAAGGAAGAUAUUCAUGAAGGUGGAUUUGAUAGUAAUGUUGUUAAAUUAAUCAACAUGAUUGUAGCUCUAAAAUAUGUACAUAUCGCCCGUCGCUCUUAUUAUAAAUAAGAUAAGUCGUAACAUAGUAGAUGUACUGGAAAGUGUAUCUAGAAUGAU